AUGAACGCUGGCGGCGUGCCUAAUCCAUGCAAGUCGAGCGAACAGACGAGGAGCUUGCUCCUCUGACGUUAGCGGCGGACGGGUGAGUAACACGUGGAUAACCUACCUAUAAGACUGGGAUAACUUCGGGAAACCGGAGCUAAUACCGGAUAACAUGUUGAACCGCAUGGUUCAACAGUGAAAGACGGUUUUGCUGUCACUUAUAGAUGGAUCCGCGUCGCAUUAGCUAGUUGGUAAGGUAACGGCUUACCAAGGCAACGAUGCGUAGCCGACCUGAGAGGGUGAUCGGCCACACUGGAACUGAGACACGGUCCAGACUCCUACGGGAGGCAGCAGUAGGGAAUCUUCCGCAAUGGGCGAAAGCCUGACGGAGCAACGCCGCGUGAGUGAAGAAGGUCUUCGGAUCGUAAAACUCUGUUAUUAGGGAAGAACAAAUGUGUAAGUAACUAUGCACGUCUUGACGGUACCUAAUCAGAAAGCCACGGCUAACUACGUG
RNAcentral lists this ribosomal RNA (496 nucleotides) under uncultured bacterium. RNAcentral describes it as "partial 16S ribosomal RNA". It matches the Rfam family "Bacterial small subunit ribosomal RNA", at positions 29 to 507 of the family's 1533-position model. The record is from RNAcentral.